Molecule: ribosomal RNA, 193 nt
Filed under: Enterococcus saigonensis
Lineage: Bacteria; Bacillati; Bacillota; Bacilli; Lactobacillales; Enterococcaceae
Description: partial 16S ribosomal RNA
Rfam family: Bacterial small subunit ribosomal RNA
Source: RNAcentral
CUGAUGUGAAAGCCCCCGGCUCAACCGGGGAGGGUCAUUGGAAACUGGGAGACUUGAGUGCAGAAGAAGUGGAAUUCCAUGUGUAGCGGUGAAAUGCGUAGAUAUAUGGAGGAACACCAGUGGCGAAGGCGGCUCUCUGGUCUGUAACUGACGCUGAGGCUCGAAAGCGUGGGGAGCAAACAGGAUUAGAUAC